RNAcentral lists this unclassified non-coding RNA (358 nucleotides) under soil metagenome. Its description in RNAcentral is "partial contains 5.8S ribosomal RNA, internal transcribed spacer 2, and large subunit ribosomal RNA". The stretch from base 1 to 120 matches the Rfam family "5.8S ribosomal RNA", at positions 35 to 154 of the family's 154-position model. The record is from RNAcentral.
GAUGAAGAACGUAGCGAAAUGCGAUAAGUAAUGUGAAUUGCAGAAUUCAGUGAAUCAUCGAAUCUUUGAACGCACAUUGCGCCCGUCAGUAUUCUGGCGGGCAUGCCUGUUCGAGCGUCAUUACGCCCCUCAAGUCCCCUGUGGACUUGGUGUUGGGGAUCGGCGAGGCUGGUUUUCCUGCACAGCCGUCCCUUAAAUUAAUUGGCGGUCUCGCCGUGGCCCUCCUCUGCGCAGUAGUAAAACACUCGCAACAGGAGCCCGGCGCGGUCCACUGCCGUAAAACCCCCCAACUUUUUAUAGUUGACCUCGAAUCAGGUAGGACUACCCGCUGAACUUAAGCAUAUCAAUAAGCGGAGGA